AGACGGAGGGAGCAAGCGUUGCUCGGAAUUACUGGGCGUAAAGGGCGUCUAGGCGGGACGGUAAGUCGGAUGUGAAAGCCCUGGGCUCAACCCAGGAAGUGCAUUCGAAACUACCGUUCUUGAGUGUGGCAGAGGAGAGCGGAAUUCCCGGUGUAGCGGUGAAAUGCGUAGAUAUCGGGAAGAACACCAGUGGCGAAGGCGGCUCUCUGGGCCACUACUGACGCUGAAGCGCGAAAGCUAGGGGAGCAAACGGGAUUAGAUACCCCAGUAGUCC
This 274-nucleotide ribosomal RNA is filed under the name uncultured bacterium. RNAcentral describes it as "partial 16S ribosomal RNA". It matches the Rfam family "Bacterial small subunit ribosomal RNA", at positions 523 to 796 of the family's 1533-position model. The record is from RNAcentral.